RNAcentral lists this ribosomal RNA (497 nucleotides) under uncultured bacterium. RNAcentral's name for it is "partial 16S ribosomal RNA". It matches the Rfam family "Bacterial small subunit ribosomal RNA", at positions 28 to 507 of the family's 1533-position model. The record is from RNAcentral.
GAUGAACGCUGGCGGCGUGCCUAAUACAUGCAAGUCGAGCGAACGGACGAGAAGCUUGCUUCUCUGAUGUUAGCGGCGGACGGGUGAGUAACACGUGGAUAACCUACCUAUAAGACUGGGAUAACUUCGGGAAACCGGAGCUAAUACCGGAUGAUAUUUUGAACCCCAUGGUUCAAAAGUGAAAGACGGUCUUGCUGUCACUUAUAGAUGGAUCCGCGCUGCAUUAGCUAGUUGGUAAGGUAACGGCUUACCAAGGCAACGAUGCAUAGCCGACCUGAGAGGGUGAUCGGCCACACUGGAACUGAGACACGGUCCAGACUCCUACGGGAGGCAGCAGUAGGGAAUCUUCCGCAAUGGGCGAAAGCCUGACGGAGCAACGCCGCGUGAGUGAUGAAGGUCUUCGGAUCGUAAAACUCUGUUAUUAGGGAAGAACAUAUGUGUAAGUAACUGUGCACAUCUUGACGGUACCUAAUCAGAAAGCCACGGCUAACUACGUG